GAAUGGGCGGUUUGGGAAAGA
This 21-nucleotide microRNA is filed under the name Hevea brasiliensis (rubber tree). RNAcentral's name for it is "hbr-miR482b". Its record names the gene hbr-miR482b. The record is from miRBase by way of RNAcentral. Lineage: Eukaryota; Viridiplantae; Streptophyta; Magnoliopsida; Malpighiales; Euphorbiaceae.